Molecule: long non-coding RNA, 1031 nt
Filed under: Oncorhynchus kisutch (coho salmon)
Lineage: Eukaryota; Metazoa; Chordata; Actinopteri; Salmoniformes; Salmonidae
Description: lncRNA (ENSOKIG00005045475.1)
Source: RNAcentral
UAAGGAUGUUUUUUUUUUGCCAAUAAUUACUGACACCGACUCUCUCUCUCUCUCUCUCUCUCUCUCUCUCUCUCUCUCUCUCUCUCUCUCUCUCUCUCUCUCUCUCUCUCUAUCCAGCUUUCCCUCUCUCUCUAUCCAGCUUUCCCUCUCUCUCUAUCCAGGUUUCCCUCUCUCUCUAUCCAGCUCUCCCUCUGUCUCUCUAUCCAGCUCUCCCCCUGUCUCUAUCCAGCUCUCCCUCUCUCUCUCUAUCCAGCUCUCCCUCUCUCUCUCUAUCCAGCUCUCUCCCUCUCUCUCCAUCCAGCUCUCCCUCUCUCCCUAUCCAGCUCUCCCUCUCUCCCUAUCCAGCUCUCCCUCUCUCUCUAUCCAGCUCUUCCUAUCCCUCUCUCUCUCUAUCCAGCUCUCCCUCUCCUUCUAUCCAGCUCUCCCUCUCUCCCUCUCUAUCUAGCUCUCUCUCUCUCCAGCUAUUCCUAUCCCUCUCUCUCUCUAUCCAGCUCUCUCUCUCUCUUUCUCUCUCUCUCCAUCUCUCUCCUCUUUUCACUAUCUCUGCCUCCCUCUAUAGCCACCCACCCAAACCUAACAUGCACCAUGCCCCAGGCUCUGCAAAACAGUUAUGUUCUUUGUUCUCUCCACUGCGAGCGCGCACACACACACACACACACACACACACACACACACACACACACACACACACACACACACACACACACACACACACACACACACACACACACACACACACACACACACACACACACACACACACACACACACACACACACACACACACACAGAGAGAGAGUUGCACUUGAGCACCCCAACCCACACAUAAACCUACUCCAGCAGCCACACAGCCAUCCAGAACACCAUCUAUCUAUAGUGCUGUAUAUCAGAACCCAUCUAUCCAUAGUGCUGUAUAUCAGAACCCAUCCAGAACCCAUCUAUCUAUAGUGUUGUAUAUCAGAACCCAUCUAUCUAUAGUGUUGUAUAUCAGAACCCAUCCAGAACCCAUCUAUCUAUAGUGUUGUAUAUCA